GUUUACAUUGUACCUUAUACAGCCAGUAAUAGUUACAAUAAAAAGUUGUCAUUGAAAAACAAUAGAUACAAAAAAGACUUGAAAGAGUUAUUGUGAAGUGAAGUCUGAAUAUUUCAAAUGUUAUUCCAGUUUUAUAUGGCAGUAUUUGUGUAUACAGAUAUAGUGUAUGUAUUAUAUAUAUCUUUUUCAUUAGUUUGCUUGGGGGUUUUUUUCCCUAUGAAUCGCAAGGUGCACCGAAUUGGUGAAGGUCAGGCAGGAAACAGAUUAGCAGCAUCUUAUACCACAAUGUCAAAAUACUUAAAAGUGUUUACAGUGCCCACUGACACACAAUGAAUUUAAGACUGGCAGACUGAAGCAGAAAUAAAACUAUUCUUAUUCUUCUAAGCCAGAACAGGGGCCUCAGUGGUUUAUGGUUGUUUUAAGGUCCAUUAAUCCUUGAAUCAUGAGGCCGUGUAAAAAAUGACAGCUUUAACAUUCAGUCCCUGGGUUUAUUUAAAAUGUUUUUACUUCAACACUGUUUCUAAUUAAUAACAGUGACCUGAUUUAAAUGUAUCAAAUACAUAGGGAUAUGGAUUCACGUUCCUUCAUAGGACAUUUUGUCAUUUAUGGCAGCAAAGUGCAGCCUGAAUUGCAUAGUGCCAACUCUUUACAGGGAAGAGCUUACUCUAACAGAGAGAAAAUCAGAUACUGGACUUUAAUGUCUUUUACCAUUUCUAUUUAUGGAUUUAUUUGGAGGUCUGGGUUAGAGGGAAUAUGGUUUUGAGGCCAAAUGACAGAGCAAUUCUAGAAGUGUGCAUGCAUGUAUGCUUAUACAGCAUAUGUUUGUGCUCAAGUUUUUUACCAACAUUUUCCUUUCAAGUCCAUUGCUGAUCCCUGGUAUGUAAGUCCCUGGAAAAAAACAUCUAGAAAAGCAUUGGGUAAAAUAAUACAUUGGAACCUAAAUUAAAUUGAGUGAUUUUACAGAACAUGGCAGAUGUGUUCUUGUAAUGUAAACUGCAGUCUGAUAGGAGUGCUUUUGAUAAAACUUUAGCAAAAGGGCAUGUUAUUACAUCAGGAUAUACAUUACCGGAAUCCAUAGGCUUCUCCUUGACCCACGAUAAGAAACAAGAGAAGAGGGUUGAUAGAAGUUUUAGGUUUAUCUAUUCAGCAUUAUUUCUAAAAAAUACCAGCUUAUGUGAUACGUGGAAGAGAUGUUUUCUGUGUACCAGAGUAAUUCUCUGUCUCUACCAGUGUUCUGCUUCUAAACAGAUGUUCACAGGGCAGAUAUGUAGACUUAACCAGCAAAUAUUUUUUAGAAUGAUCAUUUGAAAGCUCCAAACUAAGCAGUGCUAUAUUGUCAGGAGCAGAACUAACAUUUGACACUGAGCAGUUCAUAGUUCAACUAAAAUAUCUGGAGAAAUCAUUAAAAAAAAAAUAAAAGCAGGGGAGAAGAAUCAAGUCAUUCAAGCUGAGCAAGGCAAAAAGGCAUGUAGAAGGCAUCUUCUUCCUUGCUGUAACUUUGUUGUAGUAUAGAUUCCUUUAGUUGCAAUAGACUGCCUUAGGAGAGGCAGCUGAUCUGAGACCCCCAACAACCAGGUUGUUCUACUUUCUAACAAAUAGAGGACUGAUGCAAGCAAAUGAAAAGAUUGUGAAACAUAAUCCUGUAUUUGGGCACUGUAAAGAUUUAUGUAAGGUUUAGACCAGGUAAAGUAACACUACCUAUCAGGAAUAUUGAGCAGAUUUGGGUUUGUAGAUGCUUUCCAAAUAGGAUGUAAAUCUUGAAAAAUACCGAAGGCACUUACUGUCCUCAGUGAUGACUAUUCAGCUCCUUUCAGUUCAUACCAAGGCUGCUGUUGGCAGUGUCCUUUCCCCCAGUACUUUUUUGCCUUACCUCUUGCUCCUUUUUCCACCCAAUGUACCAUAUCAGAACCUCUUAGCUGGCUGGAGAACAUAAAAGAAACUUUUAUGCCAAUAGAGUAAUUAGGUGGUUUAUAACUCUAUUCUAAAAAUGACAAAAAAAAAAAAAAAAAAAAAA
This 2014-nucleotide long non-coding RNA is filed under the name Strigops habroptila (Kakapo). RNAcentral's name for it is "lncRNA (ENSSHBG00005010054.1)". The record is from RNAcentral. Lineage: Eukaryota; Metazoa; Chordata; Aves; Psittaciformes; Psittacidae.